GUUUCUAUAGUUUAAAAUAAAACUUUGAUUUUGUAAAUCAAAAUUAAGAUUAAUUCUUUAGAAACU
This 66-nucleotide transfer RNA is filed under the name Thremma gallicum. Its description in RNAcentral is "tRNA-Thr". It matches the Rfam family "tRNA". Rfam says of the family: Transfer RNA (tRNA) molecules are approximately 80 nucleotides in length. Their secondary structure includes four short double-helical elements and three loops (D, anti-codon, and T loops). The record is from RNAcentral. Lineage: Eukaryota; Metazoa; Arthropoda; Insecta; Trichoptera; Uenoidae.